This 734-nucleotide long non-coding RNA is filed under the name Homo sapiens (human). RNAcentral describes it as "HSALNT0351134". The record is from RNAcentral. Lineage: Eukaryota; Metazoa; Chordata; Mammalia; Primates; Hominidae.
CACAGACCUCACCCUGCUUCCAUGCAGCCCUCUGUCCUGAAGGCCAGUCCCACCCCCACCAUGUUCCCCCAGCAGCACUGAGUCUAUUUCCAGUCAGCCAGUGACAAGAGCUAAGAACUUGUCCCCACACCACCAGCCUCCCUGAUGAGAAAGCAAGCAGACUCAGUUUUCUGGCAUCUCAGGGAGCAUGCAGUGGUGAUUCACUUUCUUCAAAGGGUCUCUGGAUUCUCUCAGCUUGCCUGAUGAUAUUGUGUCCGGAAUUGGUGGGCUCCUGGUCUCACUGACUUCAAGAAUGAAGCCGCGGACCCUCACAAAAUUACAAUGAAGGCGCUAGCCCACAGUUGCCUCCCACUCCGCAACCCCCAUGACCAACCCAGUGCUUCUCGAGUGACCCUGCAUCCUGUGCUGUGUUCUCUCAAGGGGAACUGUGAGUGUAACAACACUGCUAAAUUCUUUCUGAUUUACCUCCCUUGAUCUGAGUCUGGCUUCACCAUACCUCACCCAAGCCACUUCUCCUGUUCCAGUGGUUCGUAUUCUCCUAUACCUGUUUCAGAAGAAAAAUGUAUGGGACAUUAAAUUUUAGACUUUCAAUCACUGAAAAGCUCUUCAUUUUACUCUAAAACUUGUCUGACAUUUUUCUGGGUCUAGAAGUCUAGAAUGACAAGAAGUUUUUGUCAAAAAAUUUAAAGUGUAUAUUUUUUAUGUUCAGCUAAAUAUAAAUAUUUCAAAUUAUA